GCAAGUCGAGCGGUAACAGAUCUAGCUUGCUAGAUGCUGAAGCGCUGCGGACGGGUGAGUAACGCGUAGGAAUCUACCCAGUAGAGGGGGAUAGCCCGGGGAAACCCGGAUUAAUACCGCAUACACUCUACGGAGGAAAGGGGGCUUCGGCUUUCGCUAUUGGAUGAGCCUGCGUGGGAUUAGCUAGUUGGUGAGGUAAAGGCUCACCAAGGCGACGAUCUCUAGCUGGUCUGAGAGGAGGAUC
RNAcentral lists this ribosomal RNA (244 nucleotides) under uncultured bacterium. Its description in RNAcentral is "partial 16S ribosomal RNA". It matches the Rfam family "Bacterial small subunit ribosomal RNA", at positions 57 to 305 of the family's 1533-position model. The record is from RNAcentral.